GGGUCUUGGGUGUAAUUGGAAGCACAGACGGCUCCAACCCGUCCGGUGUGGGUUCGAGUCCUACAAGGCCUG
This 72-nucleotide transfer RNA is filed under the name Lachnospiraceae bacterium. RNAcentral's name for it is "tRNA-Trp". It matches the Rfam family "tRNA". From Rfam's summary of the family: Transfer RNA (tRNA) molecules are approximately 80 nucleotides in length. Their secondary structure includes four short double-helical elements and three loops (D, anti-codon, and T loops). Lineage: Bacteria; Bacillati; Bacillota; Clostridia; Lachnospirales; Lachnospiraceae. The record is from RNAcentral.